GACAGAGGGUGCAAACGUUGUUCGGAAUUACUGGGCGUAAAGCGUGUGUAGGCGGUGAGGUAAGUCAGGUGUGAAAGCCCAGAGCUCAACUUUGGAAGUGCACUUGAUACUGCUUCGCUUGAGUACUGGAGAGGCUGGUGGAAUUCUCGGUGUAGAGGUGAAAUUCGUAGAUAUCGAGAGGAACACCUGUGGCGAAGGCGGCCAGCUGGACAGAUACUGACGCUGAGACACGAAAGUGUGGGGAGCAAAC
Molecule: ribosomal RNA, 250 nt
Filed under: uncultured bacterium
Lineage: Bacteria
Description: partial 16S ribosomal RNA
Rfam family: Bacterial small subunit ribosomal RNA
Source: RNAcentral